RNAcentral lists this unclassified non-coding RNA (140 nucleotides) under uncultured Venturiales. RNAcentral describes it as "sequence contains ITS2". The record is from RNAcentral. Lineage: Eukaryota; Fungi; Ascomycota; Dothideomycetes.
CAACCCUCAAGCCCUGCUUGGUGAUGGGUCUCGCCCGCGCGGCGGGCCCGAAACUCGUGGGCGUCGUCGUUCGGCUCCAAGCGUAGCAAAACCCUCGCUUGGGCGCCCGGACGGCGGUAGCCUUGAACGAAUUUUUACAA